UCCACCUCUGUCACAGCGAUCGAGUCUAGAA
RNAcentral lists this non-coding RNA (31 nucleotides) under Rattus norvegicus (Norway rat). The record is from RNAcentral. Lineage: Eukaryota; Metazoa; Chordata; Mammalia; Rodentia; Muridae.